This 370-nucleotide ribosomal RNA is filed under the name uncultured organism. RNAcentral's name for it is "bacterial SSU rRNA". It matches the Rfam family "Bacterial small subunit ribosomal RNA", at positions 526 to 896 of the family's 1533-position model. The record is from RNAcentral.
CGUAGGGUGCAAGCGUUAAUCGGAAUUACUGGGCGUAAAGCGUGCGCAGGCGGUUUUAUAAGUCUGAUGUGAAAUCCCCGGGCUCAACCUGGGAACUGCAUUGGAGACUGUAAGGCUAGAGUGUGUCAGAGGGGGGUAGAAUUCCACGUGUAGCAGUGAAAUGCGUAGAUAUGUGGAGGAAUACCGAUGGCGAAGGCAGCCCCCUGGGAUAACACUGAUGCUCAUGCACGAAAGCGUGGGGAGCAAACAGGAUUAGAUACCCUGGUAGUCCACGCCCUAAACGAUGUCUACUAGUUGUCGGGUCUUAAUUGACUUGGUAACGCAGCUAACGCGUGAAGUAGACCGCCUGGGGAGUACGGUCGCAAGAUUA